This 84-nucleotide transfer RNA is filed under the name Acidimicrobiia bacterium. RNAcentral's name for it is "tRNA-Leu". It matches the Rfam family "tRNA". Rfam says of the family: Transfer RNA (tRNA) molecules are approximately 80 nucleotides in length. Their secondary structure includes four short double-helical elements and three loops (D, anti-codon, and T loops). Lineage: Bacteria; Bacillati; Actinomycetota; Acidimicrobiia. The record is from RNAcentral.
GCGCCAGUGGCGGAAUUGGGAGACGCGCAGGGUUUAGGACCCUGUGUCCGCAAGGACGUGUGGGUUCGAGUCCCACCUGGCGCA